Molecule: transfer RNA, 71 nt
Filed under: Loxodonta africana (African savanna elephant)
Lineage: Eukaryota; Metazoa; Chordata; Mammalia; Proboscidea; Elephantidae
Rfam family: tRNA
About the family: Transfer RNA (tRNA) molecules are approximately 80 nucleotides in length. Their secondary structure includes four short double-helical elements and three loops (D, anti-codon, and T loops).
Source: Rfam by way of RNAcentral
GUAAUGAUGGUUCAUUGGUAGAAUUCUCACCUGCCAUGCAGGAGAACUGGGUUCGAUUCCUGGUCAGUGUA